GACGAACGCUGGCGGCGUGCUUAACACAUGCAAGUCGAACGGAAAGGCCCUGCUUUUGUGGGGUGCUCGAGUGGCGAACGGGUGAGUAACACGUGAGUAACCUGCCCUUGACUUUGGGAUAACUUCAGGACACUGGGGCUAAUACCGGAUAGGAGCUCCUGCUGCAUGGUGGGGGUUGGAAAGUUUCGGCGGUUGGGGAUGGACUCGCGGCUUAUCAGCUUGUUGGUGGGGUAGUGGCUUACCAAGGCUUUGACGGGUAGCCGGCCUGAGAGGGUGACCGGCCACAUUGGGACUGAGAUACGGCCCAGACUCCUACGGGAGGCAGCAGUGGGGAAUAUUGCACAAUGGGCGGAAGCCUGAUGCAGCAACGCCGCGUGCGGGAUGACGGCCUUCGGGUUGUAAACCGCUUUCGCCUGUGACGAAGCGUGAGUGACGGUAAUGGGUAAAGAAGCACCGGCUAACUACGUGCCAGCAGCCGCGGUGAUACGUAGGGUGCGAGCGUUGUCCGGAUUUAUUGGGCGUAAAGGGCUCGUAGGUGGUUGAUCGCGUCGGAAGUGUAAUCUUGGGGCUUAACCCUGAGCGUGCUUUCGAUACGGGUUGACUUGAGGAAGGUAGGGGAGAAUGGAAUUCCUGGUGGAGCGGUGGAAUGCGCAGAUAUCAGGAGGAACACCAGUGGCGAAGGCGGUUCUCUGGGCCUUUCCUGACGCUGAGGAGCGAAAGCGUGGGGAGCGAACAGGCUUAGAUACCCUGGUAGUCCACGCUGUAAACGGUGGGUACUAGGUGUGGGGUCCAUUCCACGGGUUCCGUGCCGUAGCUAACGCUUUAAGUACCCCGCCUGGGGAGUACGGCCGCAAGGCUAAAACUCAAAGGAAUUGACGGGGCCCCGCACAAGCGGCGGAGCAUGCGGAUUAAUUCGAUGCAACGCGUAGAACCUUACCUGGGUUUGACAUGGAUCGGGAGUGCUCAGAGAUGGGUGUGCCUCUUUUGGGGUCGGUUCACAGGUGGUGCAUGGCUGUCGUCAGCUCGUGUCGUGAGAUGUUGGGUUAAGUCCCGCAACGAGCGCAACCCUUGUUCACUGUUGCCAGCACGUUAUGGUGGGGACUCAGUGGAGACCGCCGGGGUCAACUCGGAGGAAGGUGGGGAUGACGUCAAGUCAUCAUGCCCCUUAUGUCCAGGGCUUCACGCAUGCUACAAUGGCUGGUACAGAGAGUGGCGAGCCUGUGAGGGUGAGCGAAUCUCGGAAAGCCGGUCUCAGUUCGGAUUGGGGUCUGCAACUCGACCUCAUGAAGUCGGAGUCGCUAGUAAUCGCAGAUCAGCAACGCUGCGGUGAAUACGUUCCCGGG
Molecule: ribosomal RNA, 1343 nt
Filed under: uncultured bacterium
Lineage: Bacteria
Description: 16S ribosomal RNA
Rfam family: Bacterial small subunit ribosomal RNA
Source: RNAcentral